Molecule: long non-coding RNA, 379 nt
Organism: Gasterosteus aculeatus aculeatus (three-spined stickleback)
Lineage: Eukaryota; Metazoa; Chordata; Actinopteri; Perciformes; Gasterosteidae
Source: Ensembl
AAGCAUGUAGACAGGCAGCAACAGCACGAGGGGGAGAGACAGAGAGAAACAGGGAGAGAGAAAUGGGGCGAGCCCUUGUUGCAGCCGUUACUGGUGAAACCAGUGACUCAUCCCAGUUUGUAAUCCGCCCCUCUUGUUUCCUUUGGUGGAGCGAAAGAUGCCUUUUGGUUUGCAGACGAGCUCACUGACACAGAAUAAGGAGCUUUUGUCGUCUCGAGGUCUUGACGUCUCGUCGUGUUUUUCAGUGUAGCUGGAGCUCAGCGUGUAACGCUGGGGUUUGAAUGGAAUUUGUGUGUGUGUGUGUGUGUGUGUGUGUGUGUGUCUGUGUGUGUUGGAGGUAGAGGCUGAUAUCUGUGUGGGGCGUGACCGGCAUGGCGAG